RNAcentral lists this long non-coding RNA (335 nucleotides) under Glycine max (soybean). RNAcentral's name for it is "long non-coding RNA (GMAX_LNC002926)". Lineage: Eukaryota; Viridiplantae; Streptophyta; Magnoliopsida; Fabales; Fabaceae. The record is from RNAcentral.
GGCAUUGUUUACUAUAUAUAAAAAGAAUGAAUGGUUGAAAGCCAACAUAGAUUAGGCAAAAAGCAUUGGAUGUUUUCUUCAAGAGAUGGAGAAGCACGCACACAUAGUAUGACCCACAUGGAAAGAACCCUAUGUUUCCGAGAAACUUCCUUUAUUUUUCAACAAAAAGAAAAUACAUAAAGUUGAUGAAGUCACAGGAAAAAUGAAUCUAAUAUUCAUCGGUGAGAUUUGCAGAUGUCACAUUGCUUUGUGGUUGUCAUUGUGUGAAUGGGUGUGUGUGUCAAGCCCCACCCAAAUUAGUUUUUGCCAACUGAGCUUUGAUGGCCAUUCAAAAC